UCGGCUUGUGUGAUGAUUUACUUCAUAGCAUAGUUCAUCUGAUUUCAUGAUGACAAUUUGUAUUGAAAUUAGUCUUUCGCUCCCAUCUGACCUGCCUC
Molecule: small nucleolar RNA, 98 nt
Rfam family: Small nucleolar RNA snR60/Z15/Z230/Z193/J17
About the family: The members of this family belong to the C/D class of snoRNAs which contain the C (UGAUGA) and D (CUGA) box motifs. Most of the members of the box C/D family function in directing site-specific 2'-O-methylation of substrate RNAs.
Source: Rfam